GCCUGGGUGGCUCAGUCGGUUAAGCGUCUGACUUCGGCUCAGGUCAUGAUCUCUCAGUCUGUGAGUUCGAGUCCCGCGUCAGGCU
Felis catus (domestic cat) is the source of this 85-nucleotide transfer RNA. It matches the Rfam family "tRNA". From Rfam's summary of the family: Transfer RNA (tRNA) molecules are approximately 80 nucleotides in length. Lineage: Eukaryota; Metazoa; Chordata; Mammalia; Carnivora; Felidae. The record is from Rfam.